Molecule: long non-coding RNA, 432 nt
Organism: Xenia sp. Carnegie-2017
Lineage: Eukaryota; Metazoa; Cnidaria; Anthozoa; Malacalcyonacea; Xeniidae
Exons: 3
Source: RefSeq, a predicted model, not a curated record
GAAUUUUGUCAAUUAUCACCAAAAUGUCAAAUUGAUUCUCAUUUUGAGUCCGCAGGACCACAGAUCUUUACAAACUGUCACUGUAACCAAGAUUGUGAAACAUCCAUCAAAUGUUAUUGAAAUUCAAAUGAAGAAAUCUGGGUUUUCAUAUUUACCUUGUCAGGUUAGGUCAUAAAAUAUUCACAUAUUUCUUCAUAACCGUCAUUUCUUAUAGAUUUUUCACUGUUUCAGUGUGCACCAAUAAAGACUUUUUUGUGCAAAAUACUAUGUUGACUGUCAAUGGUUUGGUUAUUGAGGGACUGGGGCUUUCUUAUUUAUUGAAAAAUAACUUUUUUCGCGGUGUUCUCUGAUCUGACGUUCUACAUUUAUUAUAAAUUAUUCAUUGUUGUAAUGUACAAAUUAUGACAUUUUGACAUGCUAUGGUCAGCGAGU